GAGUUUGAUCUUGGCUCAGAUUGAACGCUGGCGGCAUGCCUUACACAUGCAAGUCGAACGGCAGCAUGAUCUAGCUUGCUAGAUUGAUGGCGAGUGGCGAACGGGUGAGUAAUACAUCGGAACGUGCCCUGUAGUGGGGAUAACUAGUCGAAAGAUUAGCUAAUACCGCAUACGACCUGAGGGUGAAAGUGGGGGACCGCAAGGCCUCAUGCUAUAGGAGCGGCCGAUGUCUGAUUAGCUAGUUGGUGGGGUAAAGGCCCGACCAAGGCGACGAUCAGUAGCUGGUCUGAGAGGACGGAUCAGCCACACUGGGACUGAGACACGGCCCAGACUCCUACGGGAGGCAGCAGUGGGGAAUUUUGGACAAU
RNAcentral lists this ribosomal RNA (368 nucleotides) under uncultured microorganism. RNAcentral's name for it is "bacterial SSU rRNA". It matches the Rfam family "Bacterial small subunit ribosomal RNA", at positions 9 to 372 of the family's 1533-position model. The record is from RNAcentral.